GCCCUCGCAAUCCGCGCGGCGAUGCCCUAUAUCGCUCCUGCCGCUUGCGGCUAUGGCGAUAAACGUUGCGUGGAAUAAGCGUUGCGGACCCGGGGGCAGUACUCGGCGUCUCCACCAAAUUGACCAGACCCUUUAUCGGGGGCGGCCAGGGGGGACGAAAUAGCUUCGACGCGCGCGGUAAAGACGCUGCUUUUGCCCGGCAUUGUACCGCCGUCAUCGGGCUAAAUCACAAGUGCCAACGAUAACGUUCGUGAGAACGUGGCGCUCGCUGCCUAGAGAUAGGUAAGCGCGGUUCGGGGGGCACCGGGCAACAGAAGCCCCCCACU
This 326-nucleotide transfer-messenger RNA is filed under the name Plastoroseomonas arctica. It matches the Rfam family "Alphaproteobacteria transfer-messenger RNA". From Rfam's summary of the family: Bacterial tmRNA, also known as 10Sa RNA or SsrA, is named for its dual tRNA and mRNA-like properties. The record is from RNAcentral. Lineage: Bacteria; Pseudomonadati; Pseudomonadota; Alphaproteobacteria; Acetobacterales; Acetobacteraceae.